AGGGAAUCUUCCGCAAUGGACGAAAGUCUGACGGAGCAACGCCGCGUGAGUGAUGAAGGUUUUCGGAUCGUAAAACUCUGUUGUUAGGGAAGAACAAGUACGAGAGUAACUGCUCGUACCUUGACGGUACCUAACCAGAAAGCCACGGCUAACUACGUGCCAGCAGCCGCGGUAAUACGUAGGUGGCAAGCGUUGUCCGGAAUUAUUGGGCGUAAAGCGCGCGCAGGCGGUCUUUUAAGUCUGAUGUGAAAGCCCACGGCUCAACCGUGGAGGGUCAUUGGAAACUGGGAGACUUGAGUGCAGAAGAGAAGAGUGGAAUUCCAUGUGUAGCGGUGAAAUGCGUAGAGAUAUGGAGGAACACCAGUGGCGAAGGCGACUCUUUGGUCUGUAACUGACGCUGAGGCGCGAAAGCGUGGGGAGCAAAC
RNAcentral lists this ribosomal RNA (425 nucleotides) under uncultured bacterium. Its description in RNAcentral is "bacterial SSU rRNA". It matches the Rfam family "Bacterial small subunit ribosomal RNA", at positions 356 to 773 of the family's 1533-position model. The record is from RNAcentral.